This 320-nucleotide signal recognition particle RNA is filed under the name Pongo abelii (Sumatran orangutan). RNAcentral describes it as "Metazoan signal recognition particle RNA (ENSPPYG00000000902.2)". It matches the Rfam family "Metazoan signal recognition particle RNA". From Rfam's summary of the family: The signal recognition particle (SRP) is a universally conserved ribonucleoprotein. The record is from Rfam by way of RNAcentral. Lineage: Eukaryota; Metazoa; Chordata; Mammalia; Primates; Hominidae.
GCUGGGCGUGGUGGUGCAUGCCUGUAAUCCCAGCUACUCGGGAGGCUGAGGCAGGAGAAUUGCUUGAACCUGGGAGGCGGAGGUUGCGGUGAGCUGAGAUCGCGCCAUUGCACUCCAGUUUGGGCAACAAGAGCGAAACUCCAUCUCAAAAAAAAAAAAAAAAAAAAGAAAGAAAUAUUGUGUGCAAAGGCAAUGUCUUUUUUUUGUUUGUUUGUUUUGAGACCGAGUUUCGCUCUUGUUGCCCAAGCUGGAGUGCAAUGGCGCGAUCUCGGCUCACCACAACCUCCGCCUCCCGAGUUCAAGUGAUUCUCUUGUCUCAG